AGAGUUUGAUCCUGGCUCAGAACGAACGCUGGCGGCAGGCUUAACACAUGCAAGUCGAACGCACUCUUCGGAGUGAGUGGCAGACGGGUGAGUAACGCGUGGGAACCUACCCUUUGGUUCGGAAUAACCCAGGGAAACUUGGGCUAAUACCGGAUACGCCCUUCGGGGGAAAGAUUUAUCGCCAUAGGAUGGGCCCGCGUCGGAUUAGCUAGUUGGUGGGGUAAUGGCCUACCAAGGCAACGAUCCGUAGCUGGUCUGAGAGGAUGAUCAGCCACACUGGGACUGAGACACGGCCCAGACUCCUACGGGAGGCAGCAGUGGGGAAUAUUGGACAAUGGGCGAAAGCCUGAUCCAGCCAUGCCGCGUGAGUGAAGAAGGCCUUAGGGUUGUAAAGCUCUUUCAGCGGGGAAGAUAAUGACGGUACCCGCAGAAGAAGCCCCGGCUAACUUCGUGCCAGCAGCCGCGGUAAUACGAAGGGGGCUAGCGUUGUUCGGAAUUACUGGGCGUAAAGCGCGCGUAGGCGGAUUACUAAGUCAGGGGUGAAAUGCCGAGGCUCAACCUCGGAACUGCCUUUGAUACUGGUCAUCUGGAGUACGGGAGAGGUGAGUGGAAUUCCGAGUGUAGAGGUGAAAUUCGUAGAUAUUCGGAGGAACACCAGAAGCGAAGGCGGCUCACUGGCCCGAUACUGACGCUGAGGCGCGAAAGCGUGGGGAGCAAACAGGAUUAGAUACCCUAGUAGUCC
Molecule: ribosomal RNA, 742 nt
Filed under: uncultured bacterium
Lineage: Bacteria
Description: bacterial SSU rRNA
Rfam family: Bacterial small subunit ribosomal RNA
Source: RNAcentral